RNAcentral lists this non-coding RNA (172 nucleotides) under uncultured Clostridium sp. RNAcentral describes it as "6S / SsrS RNA". It matches the Rfam family "6S / SsrS RNA". From Rfam's summary of the family: E. coli 6S RNA was the first non coding RNA to be sequenced, but its function was unknown until recently. The record is from RNAcentral. Lineage: Bacteria; Bacillati; Bacillota; Clostridia; Eubacteriales; Clostridiaceae.
UCCUGGAAUGUUCGAUACUCUUACCUUUUUUGAACCUACAUUUUGACCAAAGGGAUUCCAAUAUUUUUAAGCGGAUGUCAGGCCUCCUUCGAGUGGAAGGCAGAAGUUUAAGUGAGGUUGCCCACCUAGCAGAGCUAGGCGUCAAUAUGGUAAGAACCGGCAUUUUGGGGUU